Molecule: ribosomal RNA, 253 nt
Filed under: uncultured bacterium
Lineage: Bacteria
Description: partial 16S ribosomal RNA
Rfam family: Bacterial small subunit ribosomal RNA
Source: RNAcentral
UACGAAGGGGGCUAGCGUUGCUCGGAAUGACUGGGCGUAAAGGGCGCGUAGGCGGAUGGCACAGUCAGAUGUGAAAUUCCCGGGCUUAACCUGGGGGCUGCAUUUGAUACGUGUUGUCUUGAGUUCGGAAGAGGGUCGUGGAAUUCCCAGUGUAGAGGUGAAAUUCGUAGAUAUUGGGAAGAACACCGGUGGCGAAGGCGGCGACCUGGCCUAAUACUGACACUGAGGCACGAAAGCGUGGGGAGCAAACAGG